AAAGCCCUGCAGCUUCGGGACAUCUGUGUUCUGCUUCCAUAGGUUGCCUUACAUAAGGGCAGGUGUUCUGCCCCCCCCUUCCCAUCCUCCACCCCACCCCCGUGUUCCCAUGCCUUACAGUUUUUCUAAAUGGUGAAACAAAAAUCCCAAAAAGGAAUGUAUAAAGCCUCCUCGUGUGUGAGAGAUGCAAUGAUGUUCUCCCCAAAUGUAACAGUGUUCCAAACAGUACGAGACACAAGAGGACCACACCUGGCUGGCUUCCUUACUGGGACUCUUGUCCAAAUAUCAGAAAUAGAGGAUACAAGCAAUUUGAGAGAAAAGUUCAAAUAUAUUGAUAUUUGUCAAUUGGUUUCAUUCCCACAUUCCUUUAAAAAGUGUUCGUGGGGUGUUGGAAAUGCCUGCCAUCAAGAAUGUUGUGUGGCGGGGGUCCUGAUCCCUCUGAGACCCAGAUCGACUAGACCACCUAACCUGAGCUUCCUUGUCCACCUUGCUAAGCAGCUGACAUUCCUCCACGUGGGAACCACACUGCUCCCUCUUUAGUGUAAGACAGUGAAAAGCCUUACCACAGACGACAGAUAGGUGAAUCUAGAAACUGGCUCAUUGAUGAUAAUUCAGACUAUUUCAGAAGGAGCCCAGCUUCUCCAUGUUAUGAAAUAAAGUAAUUUUAAGGUUACAGAUGGGUCCUUCCCUCAGAGACACAUAUCAAAAUUAAAGAUAGAGAAAAGGAUAUUAUAUGCCAGUAUUUAAAACACAGAGUUUUGAAUCUGGCUUGUAAAUUGUGUUGAGCACAGAUCUUAAAGGUCAGUGUUGUGCACUUUGAGACAGAAGGGUUACUUUGUUUUCAAAACCUCUUAGUGGAGGUGGUCCACUCAGUGACGUGUUCUCUUUUCUUAGGGUACUUAACACUGCUAUAAAGAACACAUAGGAUUCAACACCGAAAAAAAAAAAAAACCAAACAACCAGGUUAAAAAAUGGGCAGAGGACCUGAGCAUUUUUCCAGAGAAGAAAUACAGAUGGCCAACAGGCACACAAAAAGGUGCUCCACAUCGCUAAUCAUCAGGGAAACACAGAUCAAAACAUAAUGAGACAUCACCUCAUCCCAGUCAGAAUGGCCACAAUCCAAAAGACAAGAAAUAAGAAGUGUUGGUGAGGAUGUGGAGAAAAGGGAGCCCUCCUACACUGGUGGUGGGAAUGUAAAUUGGUGCAGCCACUGUGGAAAGCAGUGUUGGAGGUUCUCAACAAACUAAAACUAGAAAUACCGUACAACCCAGUAAUUCUGCUUCUAGGAGUUUAUCUGAAGAAGACAAAAAUCCCUGUUUCGGAAAGAUAUAUGCACCCCUAUGUUUAUUGCUGCACUAUUUACAAUAGACAAGAUAGGGGAACAAUCAAAGUAUCUAUCAGUAGAUGAACGGAUAAAGAACAUGUGGUGGAGAUAUACAACAGAAUAUUAUUCAGCCAUAUAAAAGAAAUUCUGCCAUCUGCUAUUUGUUCCAACAUAGAUGGACCUAGAGAGUAUUAUGCUGAAUGAAAUAAGCCAGGUAGAAAAAGACAGAUACCAUAUGAUUUCACUUUUUUGUGGAAUUUAAAAACAAAACAAAAUGAACAAAAUAGAUUCACAGACACUGAGAAGUGACUUGUGGUUACCAUGGGAGAGGGGGGUAAAGGAGCCCCAAAAUUCUCAACCAUAGCGUAAGCUGGUCACGGGGUUGGUAGUACAGCACAGAGAAUAUAGUCAGUGGUUCUGGAGCGUCUUCCUGUAUUGGCAGACAGUGACUGCACCAGAAGGACCUGUCUCUCUGAUUUUGUCUACUUUAGAUACUUCGUAGGUGUGAAUCCUACUGUACAAUGGCCUGUUGUGUGACUGACUUAUUUCACCUAACAUAGUACCCUGGAUGUUCUGAGAUGCUUUCUGAUCCUAGCUAACUGCAGUUUGCUUGUCAGAGGCUAACACAGCAGCUCUGGUGGGUGUUCAGUGCUGCGGCAUGACUAUGCCACAUGAAACCAUUGCCAGCCCCAGUUAACAAACAGCCCUCGGGGGGAGUGGGGUGGGUGGUCAGGAAAGUAGUUCUCUUCACUCUUGACAGUGGUUAUGGAUUAUGGGUUUAAGAAGAACUAAACCAGAAUAACAUAUACUUCUAUGUGAAAACAGCUCUCAACCUUGACUUCUAGUCUUUGAUCGGUCACCAAAUAAUACUUGGUCUUAUAUUGGGAACUCUGUCAUUCCCAAAUAUAUGUAUAAUUAGCUUGGUGAUUUGUGUAGGAAUUGCAGGGUUGAACAUAGGAGAAAAGAGGCAUGGUUGAAAGAACUUGGGUUGAAAGAACAUGAUUCAGACUUGGAUCAAGAACUGGCAGAGGCCAAAACCCUCCAGUUUCCUUCCUCCUGACCUUCUUUACAAAGGUCACUGUGGAACAUGGUGUAGUCAUCAAAGAUUAGGAGAAGUUCUAACUGGUCAUGGCACCCAGGACAGGAACGCCUGCUCUCAGGGUCAAAGAUGCCAAGGUUGUCCUUGUCCUGGUCAAGCCCGUCUAUAGCAACUUUUCAAGGUGCCUGGUUCCUGCAGAGAUGUGCCUGGCUCUCCCCGCCUUUGCUUGGAGACAAAUGCCCUGAUGAAGACCUUCUCAGAGAGGCCUUCUCUGUCUGGAAGAGCCAUUGCCUUGACAUUGUAUCACAUUGUAUCAUGUAUGGCUUUUUUGUCUCUCUCCUCACCAAGUCUCUGAGAAUGGGGGCUUGUCAUUGCUGUGUCCUUCGCACCUAGGAGCAGAGCCUGCCCUGUGGAGGCAUGCAAACACUGAAUGGUUGAAUGGAACUCCGUCCGUAAUCAGCAUGAAGCCAAUAAGUCACUGGUGUUAUGAGGAAUAUGUGCCAUGUCGAGUUUUGUAGAUCUGAACUUGCCAAGGGUGCAUGCUGUGACUUGAGAUGAUCAUCGUGUGACUUUUUAAUAAAGGAGUUGCAAGUAUUAAAGUACAAGUGUCAGAAGAAAAAGCCACAUAUCAGAAGAGGCAUGGUGGGAUGUCACUGUGUUACUUCUAUCCUGACAGUAUAUAAACCACCUUACACUGUAGGAUCAGAGUGAAACAACAUUGAAGAAAAUGAAAGAGAAGCUUGUUCAAAGGAAUUAUUUCACUUGAUAAACUCCAAAAACAUA
Manis pentadactyla (Chinese pangolin) is the source of this 3146-nucleotide long non-coding RNA. RefSeq lists it as uncharacterized. Lineage: Eukaryota; Metazoa; Chordata; Mammalia; Pholidota; Manidae. The transcript is spliced from 2 exons. The record is from RefSeq and is a predicted model, not a curated record.